GGAACUGGAGGAUAUAUCACCAUCAUCACAGGAAAGCCACUGAUCGGAUAACAACAAGAUCCUCUGAACAAGUACCCUCAAAUUCAACUCGGGGAUCCAAAAUAAAUGGAACCCGCUGAUAAAUACCACGGACAGAACUCCGGCGUGUCAGAAGUAAAUCCAUAAAUCCGACUUAUAAAUAGAACAAACCGAACCAAAGUCACCAUCAAAGAGUCACCAACAGAAUC
Molecule: long non-coding RNA, 227 nt
Filed under: Lathyrus oleraceus (garden pea)
Lineage: Eukaryota; Viridiplantae; Streptophyta; Magnoliopsida; Fabales; Fabaceae
Description: Pisum sativum (pea) long non-coding RNA (PSAT_LNC001637)
Source: RNAcentral